This 465-nucleotide ribosomal RNA is filed under the name uncultured bacterium. Its description in RNAcentral is "partial 16S ribosomal RNA". It matches the Rfam family "Bacterial small subunit ribosomal RNA", at positions 339 to 795 of the family's 1533-position model. The record is from RNAcentral.
CUACGGGGGGCAGCAGUGGGGAAUAUUGGACAAUGGGGGAAACCCUGAUCCAGCAAUGCCGCGUGUGUGAAGAAGGCCUGCGGGUUGUAAAGCACUUUCGGUUGGGAGGACUGCUUCUAGCACUAAUAUUGUUGGAAGUUGACGUUACCUUCAGAAGAAGCACCGGGUAACUCCGUGCCAGCAGCCGCGGUAAUACGGAGGGUGCAAGCGUUAAUCGGAAUUACUGGGCGUAAAGCGCGCGUAGGCGGCUAGAUCAGUCGGGUGUGAAAGCCCCGGGCUUAACCUGGGAACUGCAUCCGAUACUGUCGAGAUUGAGUACAGGAGAGGAGAGUGGAAUUCCACAUGUAGCGGUGAAAUGCGUAGAUAUGUGGAGGAACACCAAUGGCGAAGGCAGCUCUCUGGCCUGAUACUGACGCUGAGGUACGAAAGCGUGGGUAGCAAACAGGAUUAGAUACCCCAGUAGUC